RNAcentral lists this transfer RNA (59 nucleotides) under Loxodonta africana (African savanna elephant). It matches the Rfam family "tRNA", at positions 14 to 71 of the family's 71-position model. Rfam says of the family: Transfer RNA (tRNA) molecules are approximately 80 nucleotides in length. Their secondary structure includes four short double-helical elements and three loops (D, anti-codon, and T loops). Further hydrogen bonds mediate the characteristic L-shaped molecular structure. tRNAs have two regions of fundamental functional importance: the anti-codon, which is responsible for specific mRNA codon recognition, and the 3' end, to which the tRNAs corresponding amino acid is attached (by aminoacyl-tRNA synthetases). tRNAs cope with the degeneracy of the genetic code in two manners: having more than one tRNA (with a specific anti-codon) for a particular amino acid; and 'wobble' base-pairing, i.e. permitting non-standard base-pairing at the 3rd anti-codon position. Lineage: Eukaryota; Metazoa; Chordata; Mammalia; Proboscidea; Elephantidae. The record is from Rfam by way of RNAcentral.
AGUGUUUAAGCACUUGGUUGCUAACCAAGAGGUUGGUGGUAUGAACCCACCAGACACUG